RNA transcript from Arachis duranensis, 1345 nucleotides. It is a transcript of the gene named sulfate transporter 1.2, with no coding region annotated. The record is from RefSeq and is a predicted model, not a curated record. The transcript is spliced from 7 exons. Lineage: Eukaryota; Viridiplantae; Streptophyta; Magnoliopsida; Fabales; Fabaceae.
CACUGGAUUGCUGCCGUUCUUGUUGCGUAAUCAGACUCCGCUCCAAUUGAUUGGAUUUGGUGGCUGUUUACGGCCCAACCGCAGCCAAUAACCUUAGGGGAUGGGGCUUUGUUUCAUUAAAAUACCCCCAACCAAAAUAUUACAGCACCAUUAACCUUCACCCUUUUCAUGUGAACCCAGCAGAGCAAAGGCGCCAAUCACUGGUCUCCUUCCCUCGCUGUCGUGACUCUUCCCUCCAUCAAUUCCAGCCACCACGUCCGUGUCGUCGUUAUUCCCCGUCACUGAUCUCCUCCCUCCACCGUGUAGCUCCCGCGCGCGAAGGUAAACUAAAAGGGGUCGUCCAAGUCUUCUCCUUCCUCUGUGCACGUCCGUGACGUCGUCGGCGGUCGCCCCAACCAUCCGUCCCAGUGUCGUCGUCGGCAGCCUUCCCCCUUGCCCUUGCCCUGUUGUGCGUUGCCGAUUGCCCCCUCUCCCCUCUCUCUGGUUCUGUAACGCGCGGAUAUCUCAGAGAUUUGAAAAAAAUUAUUUGGGGUGUGUCUCUAAGGUGGCAUUUGAAAUUGAUGUGAUCUCACUCUUCCAGGAUACUAAGAUGGUUGAUGGAUGAAGAAGAACAAGAUAAAGGAGACUACCAAACAAAAAUCCAGUUUUUGAUUGUUGAAAUGUCUCGCGUUACUGACAUAGACACCAGUGUCAUCCAUGCCCUUGAAGAGUUACAUAGAAGUCUUGAGAAGAGAGAUGUUGAGGGGCCAAGAGUCAAACUAAAGAAUGUAUCAUGGGCCAUCACAACCUUAGCUUUGAAGCGAACUGCAGCUCCUGUUUUGAGUGAAGAAUUGGACCCCAUGUUACACCUGUCACUAUUAACCCAAGUGAUUUGCGUGGUUCUUUUCACAAAGGAAAGGAUGACAAUGACACAAAUUGUUGGACUUCUCCUAGUGGAAAAGGAUUUAUGAUCAAGGGAAAGAAGUAACUUGUUCUCAUAUGUUCCUCCUUUUGAAUUGCAGUCGGAAGCUGGGAAAAAAGCUUCCAUUUAUCCUUGUCAUUAAUCUUCAGGGUUUUGGAGAGGCAAAGGAUAUGGCUUCAGAACUCCUUACACUGCAAUAAUUGAUGCUUUAUUAAAAUGUGGCUCAGUUAAGGGUAUGUUGUUAUUUUACUACAAGUUUCUUACUUUUCUUGUUUAAUAGGGAACUAGGAUAAUUUUAGGAAGACUUGAAAACAUAAAUUGAUGUUAUUUUGAAUUAAUAUUUGUGGGGAGUGAUGAUAAAUAGUAACCAAAUUCAUGUUUCUGAAAUUAAUGAUAUGUGUUGGCUUGAUUUUCUUCUAUUGUAACUAAAAUUUUUUAUGUAAU